GUCACGUCACUCUCAAAUGAAAAGUGUUUAAGUGAAGUCAAAGUGAAGCUGAAAAAAAUCGAAAAACCAGUUAAAAUUAGUACAAAGAAAUUUUCUGUCUUGCAAUCUGCAAGCAGUAGCUUUAACCGAAAAUGGAAAAGUGUAAAAAUCGUGUCCCAGGAGGCGAGCAGCAGUACGAGUAUUGCAAAAUGCAGGGGCAAGGGCCCACGUAGUAUUUUUCCACGUCGGGCAUUAAAUGCUCUCGAGUUGGAAACAAAGAAACCGAAUGCAAACCCACUGGAAAAGAUGUGAUUAGUCAUCGAUUUUGCUGGUCAGCGUCGGGGAAUUUCGCAAAACAGCAGGCAGUUUUCUCGAGUUUGGCUAGAAAGUGAACCACUAGGCAGUCUGAGGCAGUUAUCCAGGAUGUCAGGAUGUGUGCAGUACUCUCUGUAUCGAAUGGCGAUGGCCCUGACCUGCGGAUUUUGAAAGAUUGAAAUAGGAAGCCAGUUGGGCGUUGAAAGUUGAUAUCGAUAUCGAUCCGUGAAAAAUCGAUACCCUGCGCAAGCAUGGGGCGGCAUAUGGGUGCUGAAAACGCACUCGGCCCGAUCCCGAUUGCAGCGUUAUUCGAAAGCUGUGUCUGCGACCAUGACUGAGAUCAUAUGCGUACAUAUAUCUAAUGUCCGGGGUCGUGGGCCAGCCAGGGUGCUCGAUUCUGUCAGAUUGAUUGUGCGGAUUGUGUUAUAGGAACACUGGUGUAUCGACUUCUCUGCUCCACUAUGGGUGAAGGAUACCCUACCGAAAAGGCCUUCUGUCGCUUACUAUCAUCGAACAAGUUCCGUAAAGGGCAGACAUACGUACACGUGGCAGCAUAUUACGUUCAAUGACACAUCGUCUCUGGAUUAGUAGUUGAACCAACGAGCUCGAAUAUACCCUGCCAGUUGGUUGUAAAUAUUAAUUUUGUUCUUAUAUUCAGUUGUAAAGUCAAUACGGAAGACAUUUCCACACCAACCAUGUGUCACUUAUGUUCUUAAAUACCAGAAACUGUUUAAAUUUUUGUUCUUAUACACUUCACCAAUUAAGAAUUACCUGUACUGAUGUAAGUGUACUUGUUGAAUCACAACAAAAAUAGAAAAAAUGAAUAACAAAAGAGCUCUAUAAUAGAAAAGCCACAGAAAAGUGAAUAAAAAAUUCAAAAAUUCAAAAAAUAAAUUUCGAAACAUCUGCUCGUGAUAUUUUUAUUUCAAGAAAAGAUCCGAUUUCAGUUAUACCAUCUAGCUUAAAUUUAGCGUUACGAGAAUAGUCCCUCGGAGGAAGGGCCUUUUAUCAAGAUGCCAAUAGCGUUCGUCCUAUACACAAAUUACUCAGACGUUAUGAAACCCAGUCGAAAAAUCGGAAAGUGUCUACCAUUGAGGAAAGGUCUCUUGAUCUCCUUUGAGCGCUAAAAGUUUGUAUUGGAACGAGAAUAUUAAGGUUUAAAAUCAGCUGAAAAGUACGUAUAUUCCGCAUUUAUUUUUCUCCACAUUUUUAGGAUCAGAACAUCAGAACUAUAUUUUUUGGAAAAAUCAACGGAAAUUAUUUUGUUUGGAGGUCCCAAAUUCUAUACACCUUCACGCUUAUUCUUGCACACGAAAAAAACAAUAAAUUAUUUUUAUUGAAUGACAAAAAAACACAUUUAUAACUUGAAAAUUAUUCUAAGUACUUCAAUUUAAUUACCGAACCAACAUAUAUACACAUGCGACUCGUGUUGGACGAGAUUACAUUAAGAGAACUGUGAAAAAUAA
Molecule: long non-coding RNA, 1760 nt
Organism: Drosophila mauritiana
Lineage: Eukaryota; Metazoa; Arthropoda; Insecta; Diptera; Drosophilidae
Exons: 2
Source: RefSeq, a predicted model, not a curated record